UACGAAGGGUGCAAGCGUUACUCGGAAUUACUGGGCGUAAAGCGUGCGUAGGUGGUUCGUUAAGUCUGAUGUGAAAGCCCUGGGCUCAACCUGGGAAUGGCAUUGGAUACUGGCGACCUAGAGUGCGGUAGAGGGGUGUGGAAUUCCAGGUGUAGCGGUGAAAUGCGUAGAUAUCUGGAGGAACACCGGUGGCGAAGGCGGCAUCCUGGACCGAUACUGACGCUGAGGAGCGAAAGCCAGGGGAGCAAACGGG
This 253-nucleotide ribosomal RNA is filed under the name uncultured bacterium. RNAcentral's name for it is "partial 16S ribosomal RNA". It matches the Rfam family "Bacterial small subunit ribosomal RNA", at positions 524 to 776 of the family's 1533-position model. The record is from RNAcentral.